UAGAAACAAAAGGGAUUCUACUUCCACCUGCCAAUUCAGCCCUAAACGUAGAAAAUCUUUUAACCUAACCUAAUCUGCAGCCUUUGCAAAAUCGGUUGCCUUGUCGAUCCGCCAUUCCAAAUUAGAUUUCAUAUGAUAAUAUCAUUGCAUGUAUUGCAUAUUUAGUAAUGCAAAUGAUUUCAGAAUUCACUUGAUCUCUACAAUGCUGAAAUCUUCUCCACCCUUCAGGAAACCUGCUUUUUGGAAGGGUAAGGGAGUCUGGGGUUUCAGAAGUCAUUGCCUCUCAUUGUAUUUUAUGUAUUUGAGGCUGAAGUUCCCACUACUUCUCACCGUAUUUAAUAUAAUUGCGGUGCCACUGCCCUCUUUCUCUCGCUGCCACGACUUCUGCCCUUCACUGUAUAAUGUUUUUAUGAACUAAAGUUAUUGUUCAAAGAAUUCAGUGUACCAUUAUUUACAAGUGCAUACUGUGUUUAUGUAUCUAUAUCUUCUUUACCUUACAAGCUAAUUGAGGCUAAUGGCACAUGGGGAAGUUUUCCACAGUGUAUUUUAGCUGGCAGAGAAAUAACUGAACCCUAAGUUAUCGGUGGCAGUAUUGGAGUUUGACUAGACAAAAGCAUUGAUCAGGAGGUAAUUCACUGCUCUAUGCUUUUUAUGGAAACAAACUGUUUAGUAACAUUAGUAUCUUGUUACUAGAGUUCCACUUUCUUCCCUAUUGGCUGCAUUUUCUAGAUUAACCCUUCAUUCAGUCAGUGCUUACUUUUAUUUUUUACUCUAAAACUUGCCAUACACAAAAAUACCAAAGUAACAAAAGGAACAAACCCCAAAAUGAAGCUUAACAUUACAAUUAAAAAGAGCGUCUGGGGCAGGAACCUUAAAUCACAAGAUGAGUACAGUAAAUCUAUAAGUCCGAUAAAUCUAUAAGUCUAUAACCAGAAAAUUAACUCAAAAACUUAAGCACAAGUAUGGGACCUGUUAUCUGGGAGGUUUCAGACCUGGGGUUUUCCAUAAUUUAGAUCCCCAUACCUUAAAACAUUCCGUAUACACAAUAACUCCAAUACAAUUCUUACAUAAAAGUAGUUACCAUCAAGUACAUGAAAUGGUUUUAUAAUUACAGAGCAAAUAAAAGUUCAGCAGCCAGGAUAAGGAUAAUGGCACACUGGAUGUUUUCAUUUACUGCAAUAAAUCUUUGCUACCAAGGGCUGCAUAUCAUCCCUUGUCUCCUUCCCACCAUCUAAUAAAACACAAGUUUCUGGUGGGGAAAAAUAUACCAUGUUUCAUUUUUCCCAACGUUUCCUCACAGUAGCCAUUAUCCUAAUUGCCAGGAAGACGUUAUAAUACUAAAUAACCAACUGCAAAACUUCACUCGGAAUCCCCCCUGCAGGCUACAUUUGCCUCUGGCCAGUGCCUUGGCAUACAUCAGUGGUUCUGGAACCCACCUACCACACACACAUUCCCUUGGAGUACAUUAUUGCUAAUCAGUAGCACUUCUGACUAAACUAUCUGUAACUAACUGCAGUAAAAAAGUUACACUGCAUAUACACCCUGCAGCUCAUACAUACACUAAGCAGUCCCCUGCUGUCCACUGUGUAACCACCCCUGCUGUCCACUAUUGCCACUAUUUACCCACCUGCCAUCCACUAGUGAAAACUGGUCAGCCCCCACCGUAUAUUGCCAGUAAGCAGACCCCCUUUAGUAAAUUAUUGCCACUGUAAGAACGACUAAGUUCCAAGGCUGCAAACUACAAAAGGUUUCUCUGCACACCACAUCAUUAAUACAGACACUUAAAUUGUGCUUAAUUGAUUAAAUAAAGCAUAUAGUUACAACAGUUGUUGUUUUCUGUAAGUUCUAAGGGAUUCCCACAAAAUAUUGCAGGUGAUGCUGAUCGCUGCCCAAAAUCAUUUGAAGAACUACACAUUUUAAGUAGGUUUUAGGCACAUGAGACAUCUUGUGUUUUCUCUGCUGGCCUUAAAACCCCAGAGGAGAAAAUGCAUUAGCCUUAGAGGUUUAAAAGUGCUAUGGAAAAGUAGGGAAAAGUUGAAUCCUUUUGGAUUGUAGGGUUUUUUUUUGGUGGGACUCUUUAUGUUACUGGAAUUGUACAAUACUCUGGAAUCUGAUGGUGUUUUAUAAAUAUGUGAUAUUAAUAAGAAUAACUCUUUAAACACAUUCCUCAUCUCUUUCAGUUUCAGGUGUUCUGGUGUAUGCUGCCUCUUACCUACCAAUGGAUUACAUGAAACUACUGGCUUAUAGGUUGCUGCUAGUCAUUUGAUUGGGGAUGGUUCAGAAGAUAUUACUAUAAAUACUGGAUUUCUAUUAGCCAAACUGUGCACUGCUCUCAGCAAGAACCAACUUAGACUGGGCCUCCAGUUUAAAAGUAAGCAAUGCCAGCCAUGGCAGCCUGAACCUUUCUCUGUAGCAAUGACCUCAUAAGGAUAAUUUUUGUUGAAGGCUAACGCACCAAUGACUACAGGGAAAGAUGGAUGGCUGUAGCUUAAUAGGACAUUGUGUGUGAAUGCUGAUGUGCAAGGGACACUGUAUACCUGGCUUUGAACAGAG
Long non-coding RNA from Xenopus tropicalis (tropical clawed frog), 2553 nucleotides. RefSeq lists it as uncharacterized. The transcript is spliced from 3 exons. NCBI's taxonomy places the organism in Eukaryota, Metazoa, Chordata, Amphibia, Anura, Pipidae. The record is from RefSeq and is a predicted model, not a curated record.